CCUACGGGCGACAGCAGUGGGGGAUAUUGCACAAUGGGGGGAACCCUGAUGCAGCGACGCCGCGUGGGUGAAGAAGCGCCUCGGCGCGUAAAGCCCUGUCAGCAGGGAAGAAAAUGACGGUACCUGAAGAAGAAGCCCCGGCUAACUACGUGCCAACAGCCGCGGUUAUACGGAGGGGGCAAGCGUUAUCCGGAUUUACUGGGUGUAAAGGGGGCGCAGGCGGCGAUGCAAGCCAGGAGUGAAAGCCCGGGGCCCAACCCCGGGACUGCUCUUGGAACUGCAUGGCUGGAGUGCAGGAGGGGCAGGCGGAAUUCCUGGUGUAGCGGUGAAAGGCGUAGAUAUCAGGAGGAACACCGGUGGCGAAGGCGGCCUGCUGGACUGCAACUGACGUUGAGGCCCGAAAGCGUGGGGAGCAAACAGGAUUAGAUACCCCAGUAGUC
RNAcentral lists this ribosomal RNA (440 nucleotides) under uncultured bacterium. Its description in RNAcentral is "partial 16S ribosomal RNA". It matches the Rfam family "Bacterial small subunit ribosomal RNA", at positions 338 to 795 of the family's 1533-position model. The record is from RNAcentral.